UAACGUUCGGAAACGGACGCUAAUACCGCAUACGUCCUACGGGAGAAAGCAGGGGACCUUCGGGCCUUGCGCUAUCAGAUGAGCCUAGGUCGGAUUAGCUUGUUGGUGAGGUAAUGGCUCACCAAGGCAACGAUCCGUAACUGGUCUGAGAGGAUGAUCAGUCACACUGGAACUGAGACACGGUCCAGACUCCUACGGGAGGCAGCAGUGGGGAAUAUUGGACAAUGGGGGAAACCCUGAUCCAGCCAUGCCGCGUGUGUGAAGAAGGUCUUAGGAUUGUAAAGCACUUUAAGUUGGGAGGAAGGGUUAUAGCCUAAUACGCUGUAACUUUGACGUUACCGACAGAAUAAGCACCGGCUAACUCUGUGCCAGCAGCCGCGGUAAUACAGAGGGU
This 394-nucleotide ribosomal RNA is filed under the name Pseudomonas sp. Ar-20. Its description in RNAcentral is "bacterial SSU rRNA". It matches the Rfam family "Bacterial small subunit ribosomal RNA", at positions 144 to 533 of the family's 1533-position model. Lineage: Bacteria; Pseudomonadati; Pseudomonadota; Gammaproteobacteria; Pseudomonadales; Pseudomonadaceae. The record is from RNAcentral.